GUAUUUUUCCUACGCACCCCUAGUGCGUUCUAAUGUCAGUUGACGGUCGUCCCUCCGACGAUCGUAUACGAACGAAUCGAAGUAGCCGAAGGGCUCUGAUCAUUAGUAAAUAAACAAGACAGCUUCAGUCUUAUCUGAACUACCAGCCUAACCAGAUCGCUUUUACUUCAUCAGUCUCUUAAUACAAGUUCACUUUUCCUCCGCCGGUCUCGGGAAUUGUAAAGUGUCGACGAGAAAAAGGUAUUUGAACGCGUGAAAUUGGAGUUAGUUUUUUUUUUUUAAUUGGACUCGGACAAGCGCCAGCAACAGAAUUGGAUCAGCGUCACCGGAGCGGUGGAUUUGAUCAGGGUGAACGACAUAUCAGGAUUCUUUACACAGCUAUUGUGGAGUCUUGAAAACCGCCAAAUUGUAAGCAGUAGCAAAAUUCAACGGAAUUGCUUUCGCCGAUACGGAUUUGGAAGCAGUGAGGAAAUCUGCCGGCGGGACUGAUCCGUAGCCGUUUGUGAAUCCGUAAACAGGAAAGGUUUUUCGGUAAUAGGAUAUGCAUUGGAAGCGUGGUCACCAUGGCACACAGGACGCAGAUACGACCAUGUAAGCCGUCUGCAACGUGGCAAAGGCCGAACGUUUGGAUUACGAGAGCGCAGUCAAGUAAGGAAACCUCGAUGGCGCCCCCUGCUGACUACCCGCCAGCCGGCGAUGAACUACCCUCCAGUAACGAUCCGCCUAUUGGCGAAGAAAAUCAGCAGCAGGCUCCGAGGGGACGCAACAAGAGAAGACGCCUGGAAUCAGGUUCCAACCAGAUAGAGCCCCGGAGAUCCAAACGGACGAAGAAAGUUAAUCGCAGUGACGAUUUUUACUAUAACUGAAUUUUGCGAGCUUGAUAAAAAAAGUUUUCGAUCAACCAAAUUUGAAUUCGUGAUUAUGAUAUUAUUGUAAUGAAUUGUUUCACGUUCUGAUAAGUUUAAACUAUGUAAAAGGGGGAGAAUUGAUGUAUUUUUCCUACGCACCCCUAGUGCGUUCUAAUGUCAGUUGACGGUCGUCCCUCCGACGAUCGUAUACGAACGAAUCGAAGUAGCCGAAGGGCUCUGAUCAUUAGUAAAUAAACAAGACAGCUUCAGUCUUAUCUGAACUACCAGCCUAA
RNAcentral lists this long non-coding RNA (1141 nucleotides) under Aedes aegypti (yellow fever mosquito). RNAcentral's name for it is "lncRNA AAEL026745". Lineage: Eukaryota; Metazoa; Arthropoda; Insecta; Diptera; Culicidae. The record is from RNAcentral.